RNAcentral lists this ribosomal RNA (726 nucleotides) under uncultured bacterium. RNAcentral describes it as "bacterial SSU rRNA". It matches the Rfam family "Bacterial small subunit ribosomal RNA", at positions 8 to 731 of the family's 1533-position model. The record is from RNAcentral.
AGAGUUUGAUCAUGGCUCAGAUUGAACGCUGGCGGCAUGCUUUACACAUGCAAGUCGAACGGUAACAGGCCGCAAGGUGCUGACGAGUGGCGAACGGGUGAGUAAUGCAUCGGAACGUGCCCAGUCGUGGGGGAUAACGCAGCGAAAGCUGCGCUAAUACCGCAUACGAUCUAUGGAUGAAAGCGGGGGACCGUAAGGCCUCGCGCGAUUGGAGCGGCCGAUGUCAGAUUAGGUAGUUGGUGGGGUAAAGGCUCACCAAGCCGACGAUCUGUAGCUGGUCUGAGAGGACGACCAGCCACACUGGGACUGAGACACGGCCCAGACUCCUACGGGAGGCAGCAGUGGGGAAUUUUGGACAAUGGGCGCAAGCCUGAUCCAGCAAUGCCGCGUGCAGGAAGAAGGCCUUCGGGUUGUAAACUGCUUUUGUACGGAACGAAAAGGCUCUGGUUAAUACCUGGGGCUCAUGACGGUACCGUAAGAAUAAGCACCGGCUAACUACGUGCCAGCAGCCGCGGUAAUACGUAGGGUGCAAGCGUUAAUCGGAAUUACUGGGCGUAAAGCGUGCGCAGGCGGUUUUGUAAGACAGACGUGAAAUCCCCGGGCUCAACCUGGGAAUGGCGUUUGUGACUGCAAAGCUGGAGUGCGGCAGAGGGGGAUGGAAUUCCGCGUGUAGCAGUGAAAUGCGUAGAUAUGCGGAGGAACACCGAUGGCGAAGGCAAUCCCCUG